UACGUAGGGUGCGAGCGUUAAUCGGAAUUACUGGGCGUAAAGCGUGCGCAGGCGGUUCGCCAAGUCAGGUGUGAAAUCCCCGGGCUUAACCUGGGAAUUGCGCUUGAAACUAGCGGGCUUGAGUGCGGCAGAGGGGGGUGGAAUUCCACGUGUAGCAGUGAAAUGCGUAGAGAUGUGGAGGAACACCGAUGGCGAAGGCGGCUUCCUGGACCGACACUGACGCUGAGGCGCGAAAGCUAGGGGAGCAAACGGG
This 253-nucleotide ribosomal RNA is filed under the name uncultured bacterium. RNAcentral describes it as "partial 16S ribosomal RNA". It matches the Rfam family "Bacterial small subunit ribosomal RNA", at positions 524 to 776 of the family's 1533-position model. The record is from RNAcentral.